ACAAUGGCUGCCAGGCUCUUUACGACUGUGCUAUUGGUAGAGCUAUUUCUUCGGGAUUCAAGCUAGUAUGCAACUGGCUAAACAGUGGAGAAAGCUUGGUUGUUACUGUGCCCCAUCUCUCCUCUAGGGUAGCCAACAAGAUGUAAGCAGAAGUCUUAUGGUGUGGCUUCUGGGAAACCUCUCCAAAGAUCUUCAGAGAAUGAUCUUUGCAGGAAAUCUCUGUUACCUGAAGAUGAAAAGGAAUAUGAACCAACUCUGAUCCCAAUUCAGACCUCGCCAACUGACAGUUCAGGUGAAGGCCCUCUGGGGUGACCAGAAAGCAAAGAAAAGAUGAGUAUAUUAUUGCAGAACAGUUCUCUUUCCCUUGGGAUGAAAGAAAAAAUAAAGAAGAGAGCUAAGCCUCGAAAUACAUUGCCAGCACUACAGGAAAGAGAAGCCUGGAAGUACAUUAUGGGAAAAGAAGUAGAUAGGUCUUCAGUGUAAAAUCUGAAGGGGUCAUAAAGCAACAGGCAGAGACAACAACUCAAAGGAAGAAAAGCUACAAAGAAAAGAAAUUAUUAUCUUAAAAAAAAACAUCACUAUUGUGGAGGUAAAAGACAAGAGCCACAGGUUGCCACAUUACAGCUGUCUCUCUGUAUGAAACAUAUGGGAAAGGUUAAAACUAGACACAACUAAUUAAAAAGCAUAUAUGAUGGGUCUAAUAAAUUUGAGAAGUAUUUCGUUUCACUG
Pongo pygmaeus (Bornean orangutan) is the source of this 729-nucleotide long non-coding RNA. RefSeq lists it as uncharacterized. The record is from RefSeq and is a predicted model, not a curated record. NCBI's taxonomy places the organism in Eukaryota, Metazoa, Chordata, Mammalia, Primates, Hominidae. The transcript has 5 exons.